Molecule: ribosomal RNA, 253 nt
Filed under: uncultured bacterium
Lineage: Bacteria
Description: partial 16S ribosomal RNA
Rfam family: Bacterial small subunit ribosomal RNA
Source: RNAcentral
UACGUAGGUGGCAAGCGUUGUCCGGAUUUACUGGGCGUAAAGGAUGCGUAGGCGGACAUUUAAGUCAGAUGUGAAAUACCCGAGCUUAACUUGGGUGCUGCAUUUGAAACUGGGUGUCUAGAGUGCAGGAGAGGUAAGUGGAAUUCCUAGUGUAGCGGUGAAAUGCGUAGAGAUCGUAAGGAAGACCAGUGGCGAAGGCGGGUCUCUGGACAGUUCCUGACACUGAGGCACGAAGGCCAGGGGAGCAAACGGG